This 429-nucleotide ribosomal RNA is filed under the name Chloroflexota bacterium. Its description in RNAcentral is "Chloroflexi bacterium partial 16S ribosomal RNA". It matches the Rfam family "Bacterial small subunit ribosomal RNA", at positions 355 to 776 of the family's 1533-position model. The record is from RNAcentral. Lineage: Bacteria; Bacillati; Chloroflexota.
CGGGGAAUAUUGCACAAUGGGCGCAAGCCUGAUGCAGCCAUGCCGCGUGUGUGAAGAAGGCCUUCGGGUUAUAAAGCACUUUCAGCGGGGAGGAAGGCGGUGAGGUUAAUAACCUCAUCGAUUGACGUUACCCGCAGAAGAAGCACCGGCUAACUCCGUGCCAGCAGCCGCGGUAAUACGGAGGGUGCAAGCGUUAAUCGGAAUUACUGGGCGUAAAGCGCACGCAGGCGGUCUGUCAAGUCGGAUGUGAAAUCCCCGGGCUCAACCUGGGAACUGCAUUCGAAACUGGCAGGCUAGAGUCUUGUAGAGGGGGGUAGAAUUCCAGGUGUAGCGGUGAAAUGCGUAGAGAUCUGGAGGAAUACCGGUGGCGAAGGCGGCCCCCUGGACAAAGACUGACGCUCAGGUGCGAAAGCGUGGGGAGCAAACAGG